This 232-nucleotide long non-coding RNA is filed under the name Brassica napus (rape). RNAcentral describes it as "long non-coding RNA (BNAP_LNC003041)". The record is from RNAcentral. Lineage: Eukaryota; Viridiplantae; Streptophyta; Magnoliopsida; Brassicales; Brassicaceae.
AGUAUUUUCCUAUUCGGAGUCAUUUGUUUUAAAUGAUGUUUGGUAAGGAAUAGGUUAGCACCAUCUUCUCAAUUUUGUUGUCCAGAUCAUAAUUUUCUUGUGUCAUUUCAAGAAGUUUACCAUGUGUACAGCCAUCAUGCACAAGGAACAUUCUUCAACCUUUCCGAUUCUUCAUCCUUUUCGAAUAUUUUGUCAUCUAAAAUGUCUUUGGCCUAUGCUUCACACUCGCUCU